Molecule: long non-coding RNA, 1137 nt
Organism: Homo sapiens (human)
Lineage: Eukaryota; Metazoa; Chordata; Mammalia; Primates; Hominidae
Exons: 3
Source: RefSeq, a predicted model, not a curated record
GGGGAUACCAGGAGGGGAGUCUUUGGGGUGUCACCAGAACAGUCCAGUUCCUUGGCAGAUUUUUCACCAGCAGUGAGCUGGGCACAGAGGUUGGGGUUUGGCCCUCUAAACACCUGGGUGUAGAGGUCCAGCCUCUGGUUACUUGGUCUUCACAGCGCCCCCCACCUUCUGAGCUACUCAAGAGAUGGGGGACAGUAGCAGUACUGCCAAGAACAGUUGUGCAAGUUGCGCACUGCACAAGCAUGCCAGACAGAGGCUAGAGCAGAAGCUAACAUCAUCUGUUCCCCUCACCACACAUUGCAUCUGCCCAGAGGAAGAGGUGCCGUGCUGGGCAGUGAAUGAAUGAACCUUGCCCUGGGGUUAACACUCCAGUGGGAUGAACAGACAAACCCCACAAGCACUGCAUACGAUGAGAAAAGUUGGAGCUGGAGAAAGACCGUGUUCCUCGUGUUCUGUGAGACCUGGGAAGGCUGCUAAAACCCAGGGAGCAGGAGUUCUCCUCCCUCCAUCCUUAUCCACAGUCUGGGUCCCAUCCAGACCCUCCUCUCCAAACCGGGGGUUUGCGACAAAGCAGGUGAGGGAGGCAUUUCAUUCCAGAGCAGAAGAAGGGGUUUCCUCCCCCAUCCCACUCCCGUUUCAUUUUUAAGGGGAAAAGCAGCUCCCCAUACGGUGAGGCAAUGAGGCGGACCAGCAGGUUCCCGGGGAUCUCUGCAGCCCCGUUGCCAUAACAACCGAACUCACUCGCAGCCUCUGAUAGGGGAGUCAGCUGGGACCACAGCUUGGGCAGGAAAGGGAUGAGGGAGUAGGAAAGAAACUUCAAGAUCAACCACUGGCCCUCACACCGAGCUGCGCACACCCCAAGGCCAAGGGAGGCUGGAAACCCUUGUCAUCCUUGGGAAAUGGGGGAGGGCACUGGUACCCCUGGGACCUCCCUCCUGAAUCUGGGCAGCUUUAAACAUUUUUUUUCCAACUUUGGAAGACAGUUGUACAACCUCGAAGGAGAGGAGGUGUCACGAUUCACAAAGCGUAUGGAUCACACAUGGCUCUAGGGGACAUUCUCUUUGCUCUGUUUUAUUUUGAGAUAGGGUCUUGCUCUAUUGCCCAGGCUGGAGUCCAGUGGCAUGAUCACACCUUACU